UGUCAAUGGCCUGUCACAAAG
RNAcentral lists this non-coding RNA (21 nucleotides) under Mus musculus (house mouse). The record is from RNAcentral. Lineage: Eukaryota; Metazoa; Chordata; Mammalia; Rodentia; Muridae.